CGCCGCGUCGAGCGUCGUGCUCAUCUUCCCCUACAACUUCUCUACAACAUGUGCCGCGCCGCCCACCCGUGGCCCUCCUCAAAACAACCAUGCCAAAGAUCUGCAUCCUGCUUCAUGCACGUCAACCCACUGGCAUCUUCCUGUGAAACGUCAAGGAGUGGAUAAUGAGGCAACGUACUCAAAAUCUCAUACUAACAACACAAAGACGAUCAGAAAGUGCAUGGCUAUGGGUUAUUCACAAACCCGCUCUGAACGGUUUCAUCUCUUCGAUGAUUCACUGGAGUUUUUGUUUUUAUUAUGUGAUCCGAUGCUUCAGUUAAGGCCAGUGCCAAGCUUUUCAGUAAGAUUUUACCUCUACAGGUGCGAAGAGCCUCAAGAACUAUUGCUGCUCUAGCCAAAUUCGGGCCAACGGACAGCAUCAUCUUGCGUGUUCAUCGUCUUUGACGGGCGUGCUCUAUCCGUUUCGUUGUUCCAAACCAUUUCCAUCUGCAGAGAGAAGAGCAAUUCUUACUGAAAGUGACAACUCAUUUGCGUGCCGUGACUGAGAUGUGGCAGCUGGCCUUUUGUGGGUUCUUUCAGUUCAUCAACCCAUCGUGCUCUGAUUAGUGUGUAUACAUACCUCGCCAAUUAUCACCGUAUCACCCUCCUUAACUCCCUGUUUCAUAAGAGCCCGGUUCACGCCACAUGCCUCUAGGGCAUGCUGAAACCUUUUCAAGGAAUCCGAGUACCUUCAUCAGGAAGAAGACGUUAGAAGAUGUGAAGUGUAGUGGCACCAACAGUUAGCGCCGUGACAGAACUACUUACUGCCAGUUAGUCAUCUGGACGAAACGCUGGAUUCCAGCUCCGACAACAUUCCAUGUAUUUGUACCCUUAUCAUGGAAAACCUCAAACUCAUUCAUGGGUGCACGUCUUUCCUUUUUUAUUGCCUCAGACACGUGGUUCAGAUUUUCUGUCCCGCUCCAUCCUGCAGAAGUAUGUAGUUUCAAGAUGAAGAGCUCAAAAAACAAAUGAAACACAGUGUAAAA
This 1025-nucleotide unclassified non-coding RNA is filed under the name Zea mays. RNAcentral's name for it is "misc RNA Zm00001eb111060". The record is from RNAcentral. Lineage: Eukaryota; Viridiplantae; Streptophyta; Magnoliopsida; Poales; Poaceae.